GAAUAGCUCAGUUGGUUAGAGUGUGGUGCUGAUAAUACCAAAGUCACAGGUUCAAUCCCCACAUGGGACA
Podarcis lilfordi (Lilford's wall lizard) is the source of this 70-nucleotide non-coding RNA. The record is from the annotation of a GenBank genome assembly. NCBI's taxonomy places the organism in Eukaryota, Metazoa, Chordata, Lepidosauria, Squamata, Lacertidae.